UACGAAGGGGGCUAGCGUUGCUCGGAAUCACUGGGUGUAAAGGGUGCGUAGGCGGUCCGUUAAGUCUGAUGUGAAAGCCCUGGGCUCAACUCAGGAAUUGCAUUGGAAACUGGCGGGCUGGAGUACGGGAGAGGGAAGCGGAAUUCCUGGUGUAGCGGUGAAAUGCGUAGAUACCAGGAGGAACACCGGUGGCGAAGGCGGUUUCCUGGCCCAGUACUGACGCUGAGGCACGAAAGCGUGGGGAGCGAACGGG
RNAcentral lists this ribosomal RNA (253 nucleotides) under uncultured bacterium. RNAcentral describes it as "partial 16S ribosomal RNA". It matches the Rfam family "Bacterial small subunit ribosomal RNA", at positions 524 to 776 of the family's 1533-position model. The record is from RNAcentral.